RNAcentral lists this ribosomal RNA (633 nucleotides) under Viscosia sp. SBN2. RNAcentral describes it as "eukaryotic LSU rRNA". It matches the Rfam family "Eukaryotic large subunit ribosomal RNA", at positions 371 to 900 of the family's 3401-position model. The record is from RNAcentral. Lineage: Eukaryota; Metazoa; Nematoda; Enoplea; Enoplida; Oncholaimidae.
GAACUUUGAAGAGAGAGUUCAAAGGACGUGAAACCGCUUGGAAGUAAACUGAUGGCGCUGCGAUAAAGUUGCUGGAAUUCAGGUUGAGUGACGAGUUCUAAGAUCCUAUAAAUCUUUGUGGGCCUGAGCUCUGAAUUCGGCUGCAUUUUCCAGCAACCUACGUGGUACCUUGUUUUGGUCUGGAGCGGCAGGUUAUGUGAAGCCCCGCUUCGGCGGUGGUACUUGCUUUCCUGUCCGUUCCUUCGCCGGGACUUGCGAACGCUGCUGGCUAGUCGCGAAUUUUGCUUGCCUCAUGGAGCAGCCGCAAGGCUGUGAAGUUUGGUUGGCAUUUUUUUGCGAAAGCAGCAGUACCGCGAUUAUAGCAGUUACCCAUCAGACCCGUCUUGAAACACGGACCAAGGAGUCUAGCAUGUGCGCGAGUCUUCGGGUGGAAAACCCAGAGGCGCAAUGAAAGUAAAUGCUGCUGGGAUCCCGCAUUUGUGGGCGCACCAGUCUACCGUUAUUCUGGCAUUGUCCAAUUAGCGGAUAGUGAGCGYACACGCUAGGACCCGAAAGAUGGUGAACUAUGCCUGAACUGGACGAAGCCAGAGGAAACUCUGGUGGAGGUCCGCAGCGGUUCUGACGUGCAAAUCG